UCCUACGGGGCGCAGCAGUGGGGAAUAUUGGGCAAUGGGCGCAAGCCUGACCCAGCAACGCCGCGUGAAGGAAGAAGGCUUUCGGGUUGUAAACUUCUUUUCUCAGGGACGAAGCAAGUGACGGUACCUGAGGAAUAAGCCACGGCUAACUACGUGCCAGCAGCCGCGGUAAUACGUAGGGGGCGAGCGUUAUCCGGAUUCACUGGGCGUAAAGGGAGCGCAGGCGGCACGGCAAGUCCGGUGUGAAAGCCCGGGGCCCAACCCCGGGACUGCACUGGAAACUGCCGGGCUGGAGUGUCGGAGGG
Molecule: ribosomal RNA, 305 nt
Filed under: uncultured bacterium
Lineage: Bacteria
Description: bacterial SSU rRNA
Rfam family: Bacterial small subunit ribosomal RNA
Source: RNAcentral